This 220-nucleotide ribosomal RNA is filed under the name uncultured fungus. RNAcentral's name for it is "partial 18S ribosomal RNA". The stretch from base 39 to 220 matches the Rfam family "Eukaryotic small subunit ribosomal RNA", at positions 685 to 869 of the family's 1831-position model. Lineage: Eukaryota; Fungi. The record is from RNAcentral.
GGGUCAGCAGGUUGGUCGUGCCAAUGGUAUGUACUGGCUUUGCUGACUCCUCCCUCUUGAUGAGCCGUAAUGCCAUUAAUUUGGUGUUGCGGGGAAUCAGGACUGUUACUUUGAAAAAUUAGAGUGUUUAAAGCAGGCAAGCGCUUGAAUACAUUAGCAUGGAAUAAUGAAAUAGGACGUUUAAUCCUAUUUUGUUGGUUUCUAGGAUUGACGUAAUGAU